CCCGCCAUCAACCUUGUUUUCCUCGGCUUAAACCUAUGUCUUGUUAGCUUAGAAUCAACUGUCCAUUUGGGUGUUGACUCCACUGAAAGACACUGAUCGAUAUGAGCAUUCAAAGUAGUGUUAGAUGUGGACGAGAAGGUUUUGCAAACAGGGCAAACUUUGGAAGCCAUUGUUUCUGAGACAGUAGUAGAAUUAGAAGCUAUAUCUUCAGUUGAGUUACGAUCAGAGUUGCCACCAAAUUUCACUAUCAACCUGCACUUCUUGCUCAAUGGCCUGGAGGUGCUCUCAGUCUUCUUAUUCCCAGAAGGUCCCGCAGCCUCAACUGCAAUUGAGUUUUUCC
This 340-nucleotide unclassified non-coding RNA is filed under the name Hevea brasiliensis (rubber tree). Lineage: Eukaryota; Viridiplantae; Streptophyta; Magnoliopsida; Malpighiales; Euphorbiaceae. The record is from RNAcentral.